This 301-nucleotide ribosomal RNA is filed under the name uncultured bacterium. RNAcentral describes it as "partial 16S ribosomal RNA". It matches the Rfam family "Bacterial small subunit ribosomal RNA", at positions 509 to 808 of the family's 1533-position model. The record is from RNAcentral.
CAGUCGCCGCGGUAAUACGUAGGGGGCGAGCGUUGUCCGAAGUUACUGGGCGUAAAGCGCGCGUAGGCGGCUUCUUAAGUCUGAGGUGAAAGGUUCAACGCUUAACGUGAACAGUGCCUUGAAUACUGGGGAGCUUGAGUAUGGGAGAGGGCAGUGGAAUGGCUGGUGUAGCGGUGAAAUGCGUAGAUAUCAGUCGGAACACCCAUGGCGAAGGCAGCUGCCUGGCCUAAUACUGACGCUGAGGUGCGAAAGCGUGGGGAGCGAACGGGAUUAGAUACCCCGGUAGUCCCUGUCUCUUAUA